Molecule: ribosomal RNA, 501 nt
Filed under: uncultured bacterium
Lineage: Bacteria
Description: partial 16S ribosomal RNA
Rfam family: Bacterial small subunit ribosomal RNA
Source: RNAcentral
AUUGAACGCUGGCGGAAUGCUUUACACAUGCAAGUCGAACGGCAGCACGGACUUCGGUCUGGUGGCGAGUGGCGAACGGGUGAGUAAUGUAUCGGAACGUGCCCAGUCGUGGGGGAUAACGUAGUGAAAAUUACGCUAAUACCGCAUACGAUCUAUGGAUGAAAGCGGGGGAUCGCAAGACCCCGCGCGAUUGGAGCGGCCGACAUCAGAUUAGGUAGUUGGUGGGGUAAAGGCCCACCAAGCCAACGAUCUUCAGCUGGUCUGAGAGGCACGACCAGCCACACUGGAACUGAGACACGGUCCAGACUCCUACGGGAGGCAGCAGUGGGGAAUUUUGGACAAUGGGCGAAAGCCUGAUCCAGCCAUUCCGCGUGCAGGAUGAAGGCCCUCGGGUUGUAAACUGCUUUUGUACAGAACGAAAAGGUUUCUACUAAUACUAGGAGCUCAUGACGGUACUGUAAGAAUAAGCACCGGCUAACUACGUGCCAGCCGCCGCGGUAA